RNAcentral lists this ribosomal RNA (620 nucleotides) under Lophocladia sp. ARS-2011. Its description in RNAcentral is "eukaryotic LSU rRNA". It matches the Rfam family "Eukaryotic large subunit ribosomal RNA", at positions 1284 to 1899 of the family's 3401-position model. Lineage: Eukaryota; Rhodophyta; Florideophyceae; Ceramiales; Rhodomelaceae. The record is from RNAcentral.
AACAACUCACCUGCCGAAUGAAUUAGCCCUGAAAAUGGAUGACGCUAAAGCGUGCAGCCGACACCGUGCCGUUUGGGCAAACAGAUUGAUAUCCAAAUGAGUAGGAGGGACGUGGCGGUUGUAUAGAAGCGUGUGCGCGAGCAUUUGUGGAACGGCCGUUAGUGCAGAUCUUGGUGGUAGUAGCAAAUAUUCAAAUGAAAUCCUUGAAGGGCGAAGCGGGGAAGGGUUCCACGCGAACAUUGAUUGAGCGCGGGUGAGUCGUCCCUAAGCCGUCUGGCAAUAGCUAGUGACCGGCGAAAGGGAAGCAGGUUGAUAUUCCUGCACACGGAUGUAGAUGGGGUGACCCACGUAGGGGCGGUAACGUCGGCGGUACGCACUGGGCAGAGAUUUCUUUUCUGUUUGACAUGCAGGCUGUACUCUGUGGAAUCCGCUUGUCGGGAGAAACAGGUAUGCCUUGGCAAAGCGCCGGGAUUUUUCUGGCGUCCAGUUUGCGACCGUCGGCCCUUGAAAAACCGUCUGCUGGCUCGGAUUUAUUUCUGAGUGGAAAAUUUCUACGCCGUAACGUACCGAUCACCGCAUCAGGUCCCCAAGGUGAACAGCCUCUGCUCGAUAUGAAUAAU